AUUGAACGCUGGCGGCAGGCUUAACACAUGCAAGUCGAGCGGGGUGAUGGUGCUUGCACUAUCACUUAGCGGCGGACGGGUGAGUAAUGCUUAGGAAUCUGCCUAUUAGUGGGGGACAACAUCUCGAAAGGGAUGCUAAUACCGCAUACGUCCUACGGGAGAAAGCAGGGGAUCACUUGUGACCUUGCGCUAAUAGAUGAGCCUAAGUCGGAUUAGUUAGUUGGUGGGGUAAAGGCCUACCAAGGCGACGAUCUGUAGCGGGUCUGAGAGGAUGAUCCGCCACACUGGGACUGAGACACGGCCCAGACUCCUACGGGAGGCAGCAGUGGGGAAUAUUGGACAAUGGGGGGAACCCUGAUCCAGCCAUGCCGCGUGUGUGAAGAAGGCCUUAUGGUUGUAAAGCAUUUUAAGCGAGGAGGAGGCUCUUUUGGUUAAUACCCAAGAUGAGUGGACGUUACUCGCAGAAUAAGCACCGGCUAACUCUGUGCCAGCAGCCGCCGUAA
This 503-nucleotide ribosomal RNA is filed under the name uncultured bacterium. RNAcentral describes it as "partial 16S ribosomal RNA". It matches the Rfam family "Bacterial small subunit ribosomal RNA", at positions 30 to 523 of the family's 1533-position model. The record is from RNAcentral.